RNAcentral lists this ribosomal RNA (325 nucleotides) under uncultured bacterium. RNAcentral describes it as "bacterial SSU rRNA". It matches the Rfam family "Bacterial small subunit ribosomal RNA", at positions 29 to 364 of the family's 1533-position model. The record is from RNAcentral.
AACGAACGCUGGCGGCAUGGAUUAGGCAUGCAAGUCGAACGAAGCAGCAAUGCUUAGUGGCGGAAGGGUGAGGAACGCGUGAGUAAUCUGCCCCCAAGUUGGGAAUAACAGCUGGAAACGGCUGCUAAUACCGAAUGUGGCUCAUUUGAGGCAUCUUGAAUGGGCUAAAGAUUUAUCGCUUGGGGAUGAGCUCGCGUCCCAUUAGGUAGUUGGUGAGGUAACGGCUCACCAAGCCGACGAUGGGUAGCUGGUCUGAGAGGAUGGUCAGCCACACUGGGACUGAGACACUGCCCAGACUCCUACGGGAGGCUGCAGUCGAGAAAUC